RNAcentral lists this ribosomal RNA (325 nucleotides) under uncultured eukaryote. Its description in RNAcentral is "partial 18S ribosomal RNA". It matches the Rfam family "Eukaryotic small subunit ribosomal RNA", at positions 1470 to 1796 of the family's 1831-position model. The record is from RNAcentral.
CCCUUAGAUGUUCUGGGCCGCACGCGCGCUACACUGAUGCAUUCAACGAGUCCAACCUUGACCGACAGGUCCGGGUAAUCUUUGAAUCUGCAUCGUGACGGGGAUAGAUUAUUGCAAUUAUUAAUCUUCAACGAGGAAUGCCUAGUAGGCGCAAGUCAUCAGCUUGCGUCGAUUACGUCCCUGCCCUUUGUACACACCGCCCGUCGCUCCUACCGAUUGGGUGUGCUGGUGAAAUGUUCGGAUCGGCCGUUUGUCGCGGUUUCCGCGUCAUGUGGCUGAGAAGUUCAUUAAACCCUCCCACCUAGAGGAAGGAGAAGUCGUAACA